AUUUACAAUGCAAGGACGAGGCGUGUGGCAAUGUAGAGCCUGUGUUGCAACUAAUUUGCGAGACGAAUCUUUUAAGCCUAAUUGCUCUAUGAUUUGAUAAUUUGCUAUGACAGAUUAAUUAAGCUUAAUAAAUUCAUCUCGCGGUUUAUUGAUAGAUUCUAUAAUGUAAUUAGUUUUUUU
RNAcentral lists this unclassified non-coding RNA (180 nucleotides) under Oryza sativa (Asian cultivated rice). RNAcentral's name for it is "partial microRNA MIR446r precursor". The record is from RNAcentral. Lineage: Eukaryota; Viridiplantae; Streptophyta; Magnoliopsida; Poales; Poaceae.